UGGAGGAAGUGGUACUGAAGGUAAGGUAUGGAAGGAGGAUGGAGGAAGUGGUACUGAAGGUAAUGUAUGGAAGGAGGAUGGAGGAAGUGGUACUGAAGGUAAUGUAUGGAAGGAGGAGGGAGGAGGAUGGAGGAAGUGGUACUGAAGGUAAUGUAUGGAAGGAGGAGGAUGGAGGAAGUGGUACUGAAGGUAAUGUAUGGAAGGAGGAGGGGGAGGAUGAGGAAGUAGUACUGAAGGUAAUGUAUGGAAGGAGGAGG
Long non-coding RNA from Oncorhynchus tshawytscha (Chinook salmon), 257 nucleotides. The record is from Ensembl. Lineage: Eukaryota; Metazoa; Chordata; Actinopteri; Salmoniformes; Salmonidae.